RNAcentral lists this ribosomal RNA (912 nucleotides) under Rhizophagus irregularis. RNAcentral describes it as "eukaryotic LSU rRNA". It matches the Rfam family "Eukaryotic large subunit ribosomal RNA", at positions 38 to 802 of the family's 3401-position model. The record is from RNAcentral. Lineage: Eukaryota; Fungi; Glomeromycota; Glomeromycetes; Glomerales; Glomeraceae.
GCAUAUCAAUAAGCGGAGGAAAAGAAAAUAACAAUGAUUCCCCUAGUAACUGCGAGUGAAGAGGGACAAGCUCAAAUUUUAAAUCUAUCGGGUUUUACCUGAUCGAGUUGUAAUUUGAAGAUGGCGUUUUCUGUGUUUCUGAUCAGUUCAAGUCCUUUGGGAUAAGGCAUCAUGGAGGGUGAGAAUCCCGUUCGGUUGAUCAGAUUCGCUUUACGAUACGUUAUCAAAGAGUCAAGUUGUUUGGGAUUGCAGCUUAAAAUGGGAGGUAAAUUUCUCCUAAGGCUAAAUAACGGCGAGAGACCGAUAGCGAACAAGUACCGUGAGGGAAAGAUGAAAAGAACUUUGAAAAGAGAGUUAAACAGUACGUGAAAUUGUUGAAAGGGAAACGAUUGAAGCCAGUCGUACCUUCGGGUAAUCAGCCUUUCGGGUGCGAUUCUGUGGGGUGUGAGGAGCUUAACACCUUCAUGCUUUGCAUAUUUGUGCUCUUGGGUGUACUUGCCCGUGUGGUUGGUUAACAUCAAUUUUGGUUAUCAUAAAAUGACUGGAGGAAUGUAGCUUCGAUCUCGUAUUGAAGUGUUUAUAGCCUUCGGUAGAUGUGAUGAACGAGAUUGAGGAUUGCAACGGAUACCCUUCGGGGCUACCUGUCUGGUCUCUGAUCGUUGCUCUGGUGCUGAAAGCUUGCUUACAGUUAUCAAAGUUGAUGGUCAAUAGGUUAGAACGGGUUAAAUUCGUUAAGGAUGUUGACGUAAUGGCUUUAAACGACCCGUCUUGAAACACGGACCAAGGAGUCUAACAUAUAUGCGAGUGUUAGGGUGAUUAAACCCUUACGCGUAAUGAAAGUAAUUUUGGUGGGAACACUUUUGUGCACCAUCGACCGAUCAGGAUAUUUUUUGAUAGAUUUGAGUAAGAGCA